UACGUAGGGGGCAAGCGUUGUCCGGAGUACUGGGCGUAAAGCGCACGCAGGCGGUCUCUUAAGUUUUGGAGUGACAGUUGGUGGCUUAACUGCCAAAGUGCUUCGAAAACUGAGAGACUUGAGGGCUUCAGAGGGACACGAAUCCGGGUGGAGUGGUGGAAAUGACGUAGAGAUCCGGAGGAACACCAGUGGCGAAGCGGCGCCUGGACCUGACCUGACGCUGAGGCGCGAAGGCGCGGGGAGCGAACGGG
Molecule: ribosomal RNA, 251 nt
Filed under: uncultured bacterium
Lineage: Bacteria
Description: partial 16S ribosomal RNA
Rfam family: Bacterial small subunit ribosomal RNA
Source: RNAcentral